CCUUCGAUAGCUCAGUUGGUAGAGCGGAGGACUGUAGUGGAUUACCCCUGGCAAUCCUUAGGUCGCUGGUUCGAUUCCGGCUCGAAGGA
This 89-nucleotide transfer RNA is filed under the name Sus scrofa (pig). It matches the Rfam family "tRNA". From Rfam's summary of the family: Transfer RNA (tRNA) molecules are approximately 80 nucleotides in length. Their secondary structure includes four short double-helical elements and three loops (D, anti-codon, and T loops). Further hydrogen bonds mediate the characteristic L-shaped molecular structure. tRNAs have two regions of fundamental functional importance: the anti-codon, which is responsible for specific mRNA codon recognition, and the 3' end, to which the tRNAs corresponding amino acid is attached (by aminoacyl-tRNA synthetases). tRNAs cope with the degeneracy of the genetic code in two manners: having more than one tRNA (with a specific anti-codon) for a particular amino acid; and 'wobble' base-pairing, i.e. permitting non-standard base-pairing at the 3rd anti-codon position. The record is from Rfam by way of RNAcentral. Lineage: Eukaryota; Metazoa; Chordata; Mammalia; Artiodactyla; Suidae.